Molecule: ribosomal RNA, 428 nt
Filed under: uncultured Bacteroidota bacterium
Lineage: Bacteria; Pseudomonadati; Bacteroidota
Description: bacterial SSU rRNA
Rfam family: Bacterial small subunit ribosomal RNA
Source: RNAcentral
CCGGAUUCAUUGGGUUUAAAGGGUGCGUAGGUGGGCUUAUAAGUCAGCGGUGAAAUCCCCCGGCUCAACCAGGGAAUUGCCGUUGAUACUGUUAGCCUUGAGUACAGUUGAAGUGGGCGGAAUGUAGCAUGUAGCGGUGAAAUGCAUAGAUAUGCUACAGAACACCAAUAGCGAAGGCAGCUCACUAAGUUGUAACUGACACUAAUGCACGAAAGCGUGGGGAUCAAACAGGAUUAGAUACCCUGGUAGUCCACGCUGUAAACGAUGAUCACUCGUUGUUGGCGAUAUACAGUCAGCGACUGAACGAAAGUAUUAAGUGAUCCACCUGGGGAGUACGAUCGCAAGGUUGAAACUCAAAGGAAUUGACGGGGGCCCGCACAAGCGGUGGAGCAUGUGGUUUAAUUCGAUGAUACGCGAGGAACCUUACC